Molecule: long non-coding RNA, 412 nt
Organism: Dalotia coriaria
Lineage: Eukaryota; Metazoa; Arthropoda; Insecta; Coleoptera; Staphylinidae
Exons: 3
Source: RefSeq, a predicted model, not a curated record
CUCCAACCGACCGACUUUAAGCCUCUCAGCCUCUCGGCGCUCGUUUACCAAGCAUUAAACUCUACCAAGUGAAGAGUUUUACCUCUUGGUUAUUGAUGUACCAGGACAGUAUUGGUGUUGGAUCUGCCACGUCCGACAUGCAAUUGGCGUUGAUCACAUCGCCUUCGGUGUAGGGACCAUUGACACCCUCAAUGUGCGGCGUCUCCUUGGGUAACGCUGCGAGGAGAGAAAGACAAGGAAACGGGGAAAUGUUAAACGAUGGAGAACAAAAGCACAGACCUGGACCUGCGGCUGUAUGAAAAUGAAUUUCUAAUUACUCGCCUGCCACUGUAACGACGUGCGUUUCGGAAGCCAAUCUAAAUGUCGGUGCUUCGCUGGAGAUCUCGCAGCGGAAGGCGCCGCCGCUGUGUUC